AUUGAUAUUUGGGAGAGAACUUUUAAAAACAUACUGUGUUUAAAUUUUUUUAUUAUCUCUAAUGGACUCUAAAAGAAGGUAGAUCAAUCCACAGAGCUAGCUAGCUAAUAGAACCAGUGACGGAAUCCAAGUAUAUAUAAGUUUAUGUAUGUAAACACACAAUAAUGGCAUUAUUUGGCUGUUAGUAUGGUAAUCUAAUCAUUAGUAGCCUAAACAUUCAAAUCCAAUUAUUUAACAUUAUUAAGCACAGAACUGAUAUGUCCUGGUACAGAUGUCAUGUAUAUUGGCUGUUAACUACUCUGUUACCCGGUACCAGUGAUGGUAGGGAAAAAUAGUAGCCAACAGGUUUCUUUUCCUAUGUUUAAGUCAGUGGAACUUAACAUUGCCCCAUAUACAAAAUCUUAGAUCUUACUAUCCCCAUCAAUGGGGAUAUUACAAUAAAUAAAUGUACUACUGCUUUUAGCACCUGUUCCCCUGCUGCAAACUUCCAGUCUUUCAGCAUACCAUCUUCUUACAUCUCUAGAGGGAAGUGGUAUGGUUCCUUACCUUAUCUUUAAGAAGUUGCUAUCUAUACUGUGCUAGUCUCUAUGCCGAAGCAUUUCAUCAUAUGGGCCUAAGAAUAUUAUAGAAGGUCAUGCCUGAAACAGGGCAGCCUGGGGAGCCCCAGGAAACAACACUAUUUCUGUAGCCCAUCUUCGAUAUGAAAGCAAUUCUGGAAGAAGAUGUUAGGAUUCUCAGUUACUGGUCUUGGUUUAUAUUUAAGUGGAUACCUAUAAUAGUACUUUGUAAGAUGUCAAGUUCCCAUGUUUUGUUUUGUUUUCUUACACAAGGCUCUGAGGGUCAUCUGCUGGGCUAGACAAUAGCUUGGGAGGCAGAAGCUGGAAUGAGGAGAGAUUCUGGCAACUCUAGCUACAUACCAGAGCUUCUGCCUUAUGUGGGUUUGGAUUGGACCACUGCUCAGAGUCUUUCUUGCUCUGCAAGUCUGAAUAAAAUGUAUAAUCGGCACUCCCCUAACCACCUGGGCCCUCCAUUUUGUAAUUGCUACAUUGUGAGAUCCACAAAAACUGGGAAUGUGCUUUGUUCAUAUUUACAUUCUUACUAUCUAUCCCUUCUACAACCCUGUGUCAGACGAUAAGGAAGGAUCAUUUAAAAGAGUGAAGGGGCUCACCUUAGGGUUCAUUUUAGGUUAGCUUGGGGAACUAUAGUCUGACAAUGACAAUUUAGGUUAAAUUUUUUAAAUUAAAAAUUAUAUAAAAUUAUAAUUAAGUAAUAUAUAAUUAUACAAAAUUAUAAAUAAUAGUAUAAUGAAUCCCUGUGUAUCCAUCCAUCCCUUCUAAGAAAGAUUUCCCAUCUCUUCUUCUGCUAUAUGCUAGGUGAAUGGCUAAUAGCAUGUAACAGUCUUGAAUGUUCUGUGGAGUACAAAACCUGCAGCCUUUGUCAUUUAUGGUGUUGGGUAGUAUUCUGAACCUUGUAAGUCAUGAUCUUAAACUGUUGUUCUCAGUAAAUAUCCUUUUGAGUCUUAAAAUUCUUGAUUGUUUUAUCUUUCACUAAAAUGUCAAGCUCUAGCCCUUGAGAGCUGUCUGUUAGGAGGUCGGUCUUUUCGGAAUGAGUUUUAAUCUCUAGCAAAAAUAUAUUUUUGGUUAAACAUUAAAUGGGAGUAGCUUUUGAGUGUUACACAAGCCUUGUGAACUGACAAGUUGAAAUGUUUUAAUUUGACUUAAGUAUGUACAAACCUUCGAAAGCCUGAAGGAGAAAUUUUAAACUUACACCAUUAAAUACAUUCAGAAAGCUAUUUUUAGCAUCUACAUUUUGUAAUAAAAUUAAUCCUGCUACUUCUUUAUUAGUUAGGUCACAAGGUUAUGUUUUAAAAGGCCCUAAAGCAGAUUUACCCUGAAUACUGUACUGGGUGAUAACUUCUACUAGUGGAAAGCCAUUCAUUGCUCUUAUGCAAAUUAAGUGACCCUAAUUUGCCUUUAUUCCAUUCCAUAGAACUACCUUUGUGCCUCUGGAGCUGAGCACAAGCUGUAAUAGUUGCCUUUGAAUCCAAAUCUUUGUGAAAGCAGAUACAUUCUUUAUUUGAGUAUACUGACAUUUAUGAGAUAUUUCAAUAAUUUUUGGAUAUGGAUUAAGAAUAUUAGCUCCCAUUCAUUACUUUAAAGGAAGAAACUCUCUUGUUAUAAAUUUGAUAGAACUUUUCCACUUUAUUUUCAAGCAUCUAUGGGAUAAUUUUUACUCUUCUGUCUAAAGCGACCCCACAAAAUGUAGGUUAGGUCUACCUUUAAACCUAAGGUGUAGAUUAUAAACACAUUUUUGGUUUGCAGCACAACAGUAGGCAUUCCUAUAAAUUAGUUUGAGAAAUUAAUUUUAUUUUGUACAAGGUAUGAUCCCUCUGCACAGUGAACAAAUAUAUUACAAAUCUGGGUUGUUUAAAAAAAGUAUUGCCAUUUCAGUCUCACUUAUUCUAUUGUACAAUAAUUGUUUUUCUUUAUUCAUUUGAAUUAUAUGCACAUCACUUUGAGUGAAAACUUAGUUUCUGUAAAAUUCUUGAACAGAUCUUUCCAAGUUAUCAAUAAAAUCCAUAGUGCACAUGUUUAGAUUGAACAUGAACUUAUUUUUGACAGUGCUAGACAGUUCCUAACAGUUGCUCUAAAAGAUUGAAAUGUCUUUUACCAGUAACUCUUAGAUAUGUGAAGAAAACUGUUGUCAACAGUUAAUCACACUCUCUGUCUUUCCCUUUUCCUGUAUUGCCUGAUUUAAUUUGUGGUACAUUUCCUUAAAAAUCAGAAUGCUAGAGCUGAAGGGUCUUAGGGUUCCCUUACCCCUCUUUGCUUCUUUCUUUUUUUACACAAGGGGAAAAAAGAGCCCAGAGAGGGCAAGUAACACUCACAUCUCUUGACCCAGUGCUUAGCAAUUCCAUCAUGCCACCUCUUGCUGAAAUUUGCCCAGAAGAUUGUUGGCAAAAAAGAGGUGAAACUUAAAACGUGAGUGAUGGUGCUUGUUUGCAGUUUGCCAGGCAGCAGUUACUAUACAUGCAGGGUAAGGGAAGAAGAUUAAACCUGGAAUUGAGAUGAAGUUUCUCCUUGCUGAUCUGACUUCACCAUGAUUCUUGGUCCUUGCUUCACAAAGAUAAUUGAGCACUUGCUGCCCUAAAAUACUGAGAGUUGGCACAAGAAUUUGAUUUCCUGCAUGAGAGAGGAGUGCAGUCCUGGGAAAGGCAGUUCACCUUGGAUUCCUUAAAAAGCAAUGAAAGAAAGAUGUCGACAAGGAUGGCACAUCUGUGUACGGAGACCCCCUGUGCACAGGCGACUUCAUUUCUACAUAGCUGCUUUCUGGAAGCUUGCAGGUGAGGAUGGGUGGGUCCUUAAUUGUGGCGUAAGGGUUUUCACUGCUGUUCAAGGAGCAAGUGCUAGAACUGCACACGGAUUCUUUCAUGUAAUCUGAAAGGCAAGAGAGAUUUCUUAGGACAAGCAAGGACAUAAGACUUAGUUUAAAUAGACUGCAGUCAAGUUCAUGUGCUUUCAGGAUCUUGGAGCUAUAAAAGCCUGUUGUGUCCAAGAGUUACUUAUUAAAUAUAUUGAGUGCUUUCCUAGGUAGGUAGAGGUUUUUUUCUAAAAAAAAAAUUUUGUU
Molecule: long non-coding RNA, 3627 nt
Organism: Molossus molossus (Pallas's mastiff bat)
Lineage: Eukaryota; Metazoa; Chordata; Mammalia; Chiroptera; Molossidae
Exons: 3
Source: RefSeq, a predicted model, not a curated record